This 127-nucleotide transfer RNA is filed under the name Deltaproteobacteria bacterium. Its description in RNAcentral is "tRNA-Thr". The stretch from base 66 to 124 matches the Rfam family "tRNA". The record is from RNAcentral. Lineage: Bacteria; Pseudomonadati; Myxococcota; Myxococcia.
GGUGGUUGUAGUUCAAUCGUAACGAGGUCUUUAGACCGAGUGAAGAUCAUAGUCGAAGACUAUGAGUUGGUAGAGCAGUUGAUUUGUAAUCAACCGGUCGUAGGUUCGACUCCUAUCAUCAGCUCCA